AUUUCCUACGCAGCACUUCUAGUCGUUCACUGUCAAAGAAUGUCGACAUUUCCAUGUUAAUUUUUCCCUCUCAAGUGGGACUGCGUGGGAUGAUAAGCGAAGCUAUAUAUAAAAGCUACGAAGGAUAAACAAGUACAGCAAAGAGAGAUAUAUAAAUCUUCAAAAUGAAAUCCC
Molecule: long non-coding RNA, 174 nt
Organism: Xenia sp. Carnegie-2017
Lineage: Eukaryota; Metazoa; Cnidaria; Anthozoa; Malacalcyonacea; Xeniidae
Exons: 3
Source: RefSeq, a predicted model, not a curated record